Colius striatus (speckled mousebird) is the source of this 544-nucleotide non-coding RNA. The record is from the annotation of a RefSeq genome assembly. Lineage: Eukaryota; Metazoa; Chordata; Aves; Coliiformes; Coliidae.
GACACAGAGCUGGUGGGAUCACGCCAUGGCCUGGGCCCCUCUCCUCCUCGCAGUGCUCGCCCACAGCUCAGGUUCCCUGGUCCAGGCAGCGCUGACUCAGACGCCGCCCUCGCUGUCAGCCAACCCGGGAGACACCGUCCAACUCACCUGCUCUGGGCUUAGCAGCAGCUAUGCUUAUGCUGGCUGGUACCAGCAGAAGGUGCCUGGCACUGCCCCUGUCACUGUCAUCUACUGGAAUGACAGGAGACCCUCGGACAUCCCUUCGCGAUUCUCCGGAUCCUUGUCCGGCUCCACGGGCACGUUAACCAUCACUGGGGUCCAAGCCGAGGACGAGGCUGUCUAUUACUGUGGUAGCUACGAUGGCAGCAAUUAUGUUCCAACGAUGACACAGAGUAAGGGAAAAGUGAUACGGAAACCUCCUGCCAUGGCAGGAGCCAGUCAGGAGUCUCUGCUGUCCGUGUUUGACGGUGGAGCAGGUCCCUGCCAUGGCCCUGUCCUGUGCUGCGGUGGCUGUGCCCGCUGUCCUGCCUCAGCCAACCUGUAG